GCUUUGGCCAGUCCUGGUCAUCAUGACAGACGUCAGGAGCUUCGUGUACGCAGGCUACCAAGAAGAAGAAGGGAAACGCUUCGAGCAGGAUUAUGAUACGAGAAGAGAACGCUUCGAGUAGGAGAUGGGCCAGUGAGUAAGGCCCAAUAAAACAUGAGAUGACCCAUUAUUUUUCUUUACGCAGCCCAUUUCACUUCUGUACGCAGCCUUUGAUGUUCCCGAUGCCUACCGAUCGAUACCGAUCAGCCAUCAUCACGCCGUCGCCCAGCCUCGCCGCCUUGACCUUGACGUGAUGCCCUCCCCUGCGGCCCUUCCCAGGUUCUUCCAACCAAAGGUGUUCGUUGAGGAAGUCCACUUGUUUCUACGGCCGUCCACGCAAGAGGCAGUCUCCCCACUGCCGCGGCCACUGGCAUCCCGCUCAAAACUGUGAGGGAGCAGCCAAGAGAGGUAGCAAUGAGCAGGUUCUUUUGAUCUUCCCUUAUUUUCUGCUCUUCUAGCUCUAUCAUAUUUAAUUGUUGUCAUUCUAUAAUUGUUGUCAUGUUGACCUGAUUCUUGAAAGCUGAAUACUUAAUUACGAAUACAAGUUGUAGGAAGAUUCAGCCAGCGGGAUUACAAGUUAGAUUUUAUACGUUUUGUGUUAUAGAUUUUUCAUCUAGUCCUUGAGAAUGAAACUUUCUUAAACAAUUCAUUGUGCUUCGACUAAUUAAUUAUUUGAUUAACAUAUUUGAUUGCAUCGUCUAUCGAGGCUUUGAUAUUUUGUUGCUUGUAAAAGUUCGCCCCGGGUAACUUCAAAUCCUGGAUCCGCCGCUGGCUACGACAUGAGCUCAAGGAGGCGGCAACGAAUCGCGAGGUGGAUGCCCGAAACGCGGAGGCAACGACGAAUCGCAUGGCAGUGGUGACUCGAAUCGGGAGCUCAGCAACUUGAUGCAUCGAUUUCAGCUGGCGGCGGCUGCCGACGAGCGAAUCGAAGUGGGGUGGGAGGUCGGUAGGGUGCCGAGAAGAGUGGGAAAGUGUGGGUGGCCAUCGGAAGGCGAUCGCACGAGGGGAGGGAAUCUUUUGCUGAGAUUGCUUUUCGGCCGCUCAAAUUUGAGAGGCGGCUGACACAUCUCCUCAAAUAUUUGAGGGGUUAAACUAGAGAGUUCAGGUAGGUGCAGCUUAACCCCUAAAAAAAAGUAUCUUUUGAGGAGUCAACCCGUUUUAGAAGUUCCGCUAGAGAUGCCCUAAGAGAUCGAAACAUACCUACAGGUAUUAGGCAAGUAUCAAGGUGGGAAAGAAUUAUGUUUAUUUGUUUAUUUACCAAUACUCGAUGCAUACAUAUCAGGUAUGGUAUCCGAUACGGUUCUCUCAUUGUAUGACAUAUUGGGUUUGUGUGCGUUCA
Long non-coding RNA from Triticum dicoccoides, 1378 nucleotides. RefSeq lists it as uncharacterized. The record is from RefSeq and is a predicted model, not a curated record. NCBI's taxonomy places the organism in Eukaryota, Viridiplantae, Streptophyta, Magnoliopsida, Poales, Poaceae. The transcript has 2 exons.